CCUGCUUUCUCUCUCGUAUUCUCUGAGUUUUUUUUCGCGCUCUCUGAACUCUCUCUCACACUCUCUGAGCUCUCUCUCCCUCUCGCCUCUCUCUAUCGAGAGGAGCGCUUUUUGUUCUUGCCUCUCUCCAUCAGGCAGGAGCUCGUCACUUACGCCACCGUUGUUUCGUCUUACACGUUCUCCUGUUGCUCUCUUUCGUAUUCUAUAGAAAUCUCUACUCCAACCUUUCCGGAGCUUUCUCUUGCCAUCACAUCUCUUCAUUAGUAGGGUUGCUUAUAGGAUGUUUCGUUCAGUUUUCCUGUUCAUUGUAAGACUUGCCAUGCGUUCAUCCACUAAAAGGUGCUCAAUUCUUCUUUUUUUUAGAGAGAUAGAUAGUAGCAUACUAUCCGCUUCGUUUAUUUUAUUUUAAAAAUAAACUUAUCUGAAAAUAUUACUCAACUAAGAUUCGAACUUAGGACCUUAAGUACCAACCACCAAAUCUUUGUCACUUGCGGUAGGAACGAUUAGUCAUAGGCACUCAAAAUGAAAGACGAUUUUUGACAUCUUGACUAUAAUUCUCUAGACUUUUUUAAUUCAUAUAAUCUUAUUCUUUUAUUUUUUUAUUUAAUAUAAAAUUUUAUAUUUUUAGAAUAAGUAUCACUUUUAUGUAACAU
RNAcentral lists this long non-coding RNA (653 nucleotides) under Ananas comosus (pineapple). RNAcentral describes it as "long non-coding RNA (ACOM_LNC022041)". The record is from RNAcentral. Lineage: Eukaryota; Viridiplantae; Streptophyta; Magnoliopsida; Poales; Bromeliaceae.